CUCAGAGCAGCAGCCUCUGAUCAUGUGACUCCUCCUCCAUGUGACUGAUCACAUGACGGUGACAUCAUCGCAGGUCCUGUAAGCACACGGCUCCUCUACAGAUACAGGUUUCUCCAAUCCAGGAUCCUCUGCUGAUAUCUUCUAUAUAAGAGAAUUCUCCUGGAUGACCCAUCAACCAUGGGGAGAGACAGGAACAAGAUGGCCGACAGGAUCAUAAACCUCACCCUACAGAUACUCUUCCGGCUUACUGGAGAGGAUUACACAGUAGUGAAGAAGUCCUCUAGUGGGCGCUGUCGGGCCCCUGUGUGUGAAGGAUGAGGAAGAACCCUGAGCCCAAUCCCGGGGCCCCCACCUCACUCCCUGAUACAUGAGGAAAUGGAUGAACAGAAGAUCCGAGAACUCAUCAACAAGAUGAUGGAGCUGCUGA
Molecule: long non-coding RNA, 427 nt
Organism: Hyla sarda
Lineage: Eukaryota; Metazoa; Chordata; Amphibia; Anura; Hylidae
Exons: 3
Source: RefSeq, a predicted model, not a curated record